GGAUGCAAGUAUGACCCGGCUAUAGCAUUAUUUACCCUAUUGAUUGCAGGGGUCUAGUGAACUGAUUGGCUGGGGAGAUAGGUGCCCCUUCUUUCCCUCACUGCUUAAUGUGCUUGCCUCCUGAAGCUCCUUGAUUGACUGAAGGGACAGCAGACCUCCCCGAUAGAGGAGGGCAUUCUUCAACCAAAAGUAUAGCACUAGCUGUGCUCGCCUGGAAGAACCCCCAUAGAUGUUCUCAAAGAAAUGGGAGCAUGGAUCUCAGGGGAGAAAUCCCAAGACCCCAGGCCUAUUUUUGGGGGGAGGGGUUACUUUUAA
RNAcentral lists this small nuclear RNA (315 nucleotides) under Mus spicilegus (steppe mouse). RNAcentral describes it as "7SK RNA (ENSMSIG00000028873.1)". It matches the Rfam family "7SK RNA". From Rfam's summary of the family: 7SK was discovered as an abundant small nuclear RNA in the mid-70s but a possible function has only recently been suggested. Two independent studies have found that 7SK RNA binds the CDK9/cyclin T complex (known as elongation factor P-TEFb). P-TEFb activates transcription by phosphorylating the C-terminal domain of RNA polymerase II. The record is from Rfam by way of RNAcentral. Lineage: Eukaryota; Metazoa; Chordata; Mammalia; Rodentia; Muridae.